AGCUCUGUAAGCGUAUACCAAAGUUGUUGCAGUUAAAACGCUCGUAGUCGGAUUUUGGUAGUUCCGGAUCUGUGCGCGUCGUGCGCGCAGAUUGCAGGGGCUGCUUUUGUGGGCAUGCGUCGGAUGAGGCGACUUUAUUGUUGAACGUCUGUACGCAACCACCAUUUACUGUGAAAAAAUUAGAGUGUUCAAAGCAGGCAUUUGCCGUGAAUACAUUAGCAUGGAAUAAUAGAAUAGGACUUGGUCUUAUUUUGUUGGUUUGUUAUGGCUGAGUAAUGAUUAAGAGGGACAGUUGGGGGCAUUUGUAUUCCGGAGCUAGAGGUGAAAUUCUUAGAUUUCCGGAAGACAAACCGCUGCGAAAGCGUCUGCCAAGGAUGUUUUCA
This 383-nucleotide ribosomal RNA is filed under the name uncultured eukaryote. RNAcentral describes it as "SSU rRNA". It matches the Rfam family "Eukaryotic small subunit ribosomal RNA", at positions 587 to 972 of the family's 1831-position model. The record is from RNAcentral.